AAUGUGCUGUGCAAAAUGUGGCGGAGAGGAUGAGUGUGAGGAGGAACAGAGAUCAAAUGCUGUAACUGGGAGAGGCCAUAGUGCUGAUGUGCUUAUAAACUCUUAAAGUUAACAGGAAUUUUAGCUGAAGAAAUACACAAGAUUUUAAAAGCGAAAGAAAGAACUGUUGCUUUGGAUAUGAUUCAGAUAACAUCUCACUCACAGUGAUGUCCGGAGCAUUAGCUGGAGAUAAUGGAAAGAAAAAUAAAAGUGUAUCUUGGUGGUCAGAAGUUUAUGUUUCAAGGAAAGUCAAGAGAAACAGGAAGUUGAAGAUCUGUCUGCAUUCAAUAUUUUUUUCCUCAUGAGCACAACUGCACUAACAUGUCAUGAAUACACAGAUAACAUCACCACCACCUGACGUUUCUACAAGCUCGAAGGCAGAGAUUAAAAGCUUUGAGGGGAAAGAUAAAGAGAGACUUAUGAGUCAGGCAUAAUGAAACUACAAGGUACGACGGGAAACAGAGUGGAGCUGUUAUUGAUCAUCUUUUGUGGGUGCUGCAUAUGUUAACCACAUAACCGAGGCUCGGUUCCACAACAAAGCGUACCCGAAUGAAUGUUUUGCUGCAGAAAACCUCCUCUCUUCCUGUCGCUGGAACAUGGUGUGCAGCAUCAUGAAAUCUUAAAGCUAGUAUGCUGGGUCGCAUGUCUAUUCUGAAUGGUACAAAAUGCAAAAUGGUGCAUGAGAGCAAAUAAUAAAAUACACACAUUACUGUUUAAAUGUUUGAUUUUGGUAAGAUUUUUUAAAAUAGUUUUGAGAGAAGUCUCUUAUGCUCAACAUGGCUGUUUUUAUUGGUUCAAAAAAUGGUAAUAUUAUUACAAUUUAGAAUAACUGUUUUCUUGUGUUGCUUAAUAUUUUGUGGGGAAACCAUGAUGCAUUUUUGCAGGAUUCUUUGAAGAAUAGAAAGUUCAAAAGAGCCGCAUUUAUUUGAAAUAGAAAUGUUUAUUAACAUUAUAAGUAAAUGUCUUUGUAAUACUCCUGGAAAGAACUAAAAUGAAAGAAGAUAGAGUCUGC
This is a long non-coding RNA of Megalobrama amblycephala (Wuchang bream), 1051 nucleotides long. RefSeq lists it as uncharacterized. The transcript has 4 exons. NCBI's taxonomy places the organism in Eukaryota, Metazoa, Chordata, Actinopteri, Cypriniformes, Xenocyprididae. The record is from RefSeq and is a predicted model, not a curated record.